This is a long non-coding RNA of Scophthalmus maximus (turbot), 2734 nucleotides long. RefSeq lists it as uncharacterized. The transcript is spliced from 3 exons. The record is from RefSeq and is a predicted model, not a curated record. NCBI's taxonomy places the organism in Eukaryota, Metazoa, Chordata, Actinopteri, Pleuronectiformes, Scophthalmidae.
AAGUUUGAAGAACACACAAGUUCUUGGCAUCAGAAAACGUGAUAAAUAAAUUGAAGAGAAAAUGGUUUGUUUCCCGUUGCCAAGUCAUAACUCCUCCCCUCUCCUGUCAUCCUCUCUGUCCGACCCCAUCCCCUCACCCCCUUUCCCUGACCCUUCUCGUGUUCCAGCAGUAACCUCCUGCCUCUGUUCACCUUGUCGUCCUGUGCAUCUGGCUGCAGCAGGCUGUGCUGCUGUAUGGCCAUAGGUGGAGGCAGUGGCACCGAGUCGGCGCCUUCCUCGCCCUCCUCCUCACCGCAGCUCUGCAUGCCCGAAGAACUGGACUUGGACAGCGUGCCACUCGACAGGCCCUCGUUCCGAACCCUCUGCGACAGUGGAAGUGGAUUGUAAGGUAGAGAUCAGUACACAGAGCUCCGCAGACGCUGCCAACUGCACAGAGGUGAGUCCACCCACCUCCUCCACCGUCUCAUCCUGAGGCGUGGCCGCGCUGUCGUCCGAGUCUUUCUGCGAGCCCAUCGUCAUCUCCCCGCUCUUCCUAACCUCGCGGCUCUUCUUGUGCUUGUGAGCCAGCUUCUUCACAUGGCCGUCGGCCUUGCCGCUGCUCAGCCGCCGCACAGGGCUGGUGAGCCACUUCCGCAGGGUGUUACCUAGGCGAUGAGCCAAACACGUGAAACUCAGUUUGCUGCGGCACUGUACUAUAACAGUCGAAGAUACCAUACCUGGUCGUUUUGGCCCUGGUGACGUGUGGGAGCCGAUGCCAUGGCCGGGCUGGAGCGUGGCGGACGAUCCUGGCAUGAUGGAGUCAUUGCUGCACACUGACAGAGUGUCUGCGAUACAGAAAGCCACGCUAUCAUUAAAAUUAAUAAUUUUCAUAUGAUGCAGACAUCCACAAAGUAUCAAAGCAUUUUUUUUUCAGACCAUCCUCACGUGUCCUCACACGUGUCCUCACACGUGUCAAGCGGUUCACAGCGCACACACUCUGACCUUUGUGGUUGAAGAUGCCCUCCAUCUCCAUGGAGGACCUGGAGUGGGCAAUGCAGAGCAUGGAGCAGGGCACCAGGCCCUCCUGGGACGGCGAGCGGUCUGUUGUCCUGACCAGGCACCAGUCCGGCUUGUCGUGACAACGCUCCAGAACCUCCACCGUCUGUCCGCGCCGCACGGUCAGCUCGUUGCUGUUGCUGGCCAUGAAGUCGUGUAUGACCACAGUCAGCUCGCAGCCACCGGAGAGCUGAGGGGGAAAGGAAUGUGACGCUCAGUGCACAGUGUUCUGCAGAAAGUGUGCAGUCCGGAGUCGGGACGUCCUUUCUAAUCACCUGUUUGUGCAUUCUCACCUUGUCGCUGUCCAGCGUGUUCUGAGAAGUACGUGAGGCCAGGGAGAUAGUGUCUGGUUGGCUGCUGCCUUCACCCUGACUGUCCAGGUCCUCUCCAUCCCUAACAAACACACACACAUUUGAUCCAAUUCUUUUUGUCUCCGUUCCUUGACACUGACACUGCAGCUGCUGACACACGCUUACCUUCGCCCUUUGUGGUGCUUGGCUGUGGUUGCUUUUGGAAUAUGGAUGGGCUCCUUGAGGGCCCCUCUCAGGUGAAUGGUGCGCUCCUGGAUCACCUCCCGGAUGUGCUUGAUCCAGUCCUGCUUGUUCUCAAUGCUUGAUGCCUGCACAGGACGGAGGGAGGUUGAGAAGUCAAAAGUAUUCCGGUCAAUUUGGUAAAGUUUGCAUUGGUGUGACGACUGACCACUUGGAGCCGAAGAAGCUGGACAUCUCCCCAGACCGUUAACUAACUAGCACCAACUAUUUCCGCCAUUAAAUGUUAGACUGCCUGCAUCAAUUACUUUUAGCUGUUGAUUUCAACCAUUGAUCCAUUAGCAAACUAACAUUGACUAAAUUAUUUUCUGUUUAUCUUUUACAUUAACUAUUUCAACCAGUUAUCCAUCACUUUUGCCUUUUGAACCGCUUACAAAUGAACCUCACUUUUAGCUAACUAAUAUGUUGGAUAUAUUUUUGUAAUGAAAUGUAUGUUAUUACGGUUUCAAUGUUAUGUUUAUUUCUGUAUUUUUUUUUCAGAUUUGUUGUGAUACAUCAUAAUCUUAGUACUUAUCGGCAACUGCACUCUUCAGGUACAAGUGGUUGGGAAUCACUGCCCUAGAAUAUUUUACAAUCUUCCGCUGUGAUGCUGCGUUUGUUUUCUCAGAUACUGUUAAUGAGGAUAAGAAGUGCCAAGAGUUUUUCUUUCAGACUUGUGCGAUGUGGCUGAGGGCUGUGUUGUGGGAUAGUUUGUACUCACCAUGGCUCCAUGUUUGGAUCCCUGACUUAGCUUUGAAUUUAAAAUAUGAAAUAAGAGAAUUUCACUGGUUUGGUCUCAGAAGACACACAUGACAUUUCUUAUGCUGACAAAACGGUUUGACAUGGAUAGAAACGCACAACACUGAUCAUUUGUCUUGAAAAGUGCACUGAGGGCCAAUUCAAUGUGUGGCAGAUUGUAAUGGAUGGUGUGUGUGUGUCUGUGUGUCAGUGAGAAUAUGUGUAGUUAGUAAUGAGACAUUUAAUUUACAAUGUGCAUACCACAUGACUGCUUCUGAGUGGUUAGUUUGGUUGUCAACAUGUAUCAUGGAGUUGUUACGCUCAGAAUUAAAUGUGUGAGGAUUUUGGCUUCAUGCUGUUGCAAUGGCUGACCCAAAUUUGAAUCCAUCUGUGGCAGUAUUCAACAGGAAAUACAGGAGCCAUUUGAAACAUUC